AAAGGGGGGGGGGGCUAUACAUGCAGUCGACGCGUUGGCCCAAUUGAUUGAUGGUGCUUGCACCUGAUUGAUUUUGGUCGCCAACGAGUGGCGGACGGGUGAGUAACACGUAGGUAACCUGCCCAGAAGCGGGGGACAACAUUUGGAAACAGAUGCUAAUACCGCAUAACAACGUUGUUCGCAUGAAGAACGCUUAAAAGAUGACUUCUCGCUAUCACUUCUGGAUGGACCUGCGGUGCAUUAACUUGUUGGUGGGGUAAUGGCCUACCAAGGCGAUGAUGCAUAGCCGAGUUGAGAGACUGAUCGGCCACAAUGGGACUGAGACACGGCCCAUACUCCUACGGGAGGCAGCAGUAGGGAAUCUUCCACAAUGGGCGCAAGCCUGAUGGAGCAACACCGCGUGAGUGAAGAAGGGUUUCGGCUCGUAAAGCUCUGUUGUUAAAGAAGAACACGUAUGAGAGUAACUGGUCAUACGUUGACGGUAUUUAACCAGAAAGUCACGGCUAACUACGUGCCAGCAGCCGCGGUAAUACGUAGGUGGCAAGCGUUAUCCGGAUUUAUUGGGCGUAAAGAGAGUGCAGGCGGUUUUCUAAGUCUGAUGUGAAAGCCUUCGGCUUAACCGGAGAAGUGCAUCGGAAACUGGAUAACUUGAGUGCAGAAGAGGGUAGUGGAACUCCAUGUGUAGCGGUGGAAUGCGUAGAUAUAUGGAAGAACACCAGUGGCGAAGGCGGCUACCUGGUCUGCAACUGACGCUGAGACUCGAAAGCAUGGGUAGCGAACAGGAUUAGAUACCCUGGUAGUCCAUGCCGUAAACGAUGAAUGCUAGGUGUUGGAGGGUUUCCGCCCUUCAGUGCCGGAGCUAACGCAUUAAGCACUCCGCCUGGGGAAUACGACCGCAAGGUUAAACUCAAAGAAUUGACGGGGCCCGCACAACCGUGGAACAUGUGGUUAAUUCGAAGCUACGCGAAAACCUUACCAGUCUUGACAUCUUCCGCCACCCUAAAAAUAGGCGUUUCCUUCGGAACCAAUGACAGUGGUGCAUGGUCGUCUCAACUCGUUCCUGAAAUGUCGGUUAAUCCCGCACCAACGCACCCUUUUACUAUUUCCACCAUUAUUUGCCACCCUAAUAAAAUGCCCCUGAAAACCGAAGAAAGUGGGGACAAAUUAAAUCACAUUCCCCUAUAACUUGGUAACACU
Molecule: ribosomal RNA, 1197 nt
Filed under: Limosilactobacillus fermentum
Lineage: Bacteria; Bacillati; Bacillota; Bacilli; Lactobacillales; Lactobacillaceae
Description: bacterial SSU rRNA
Rfam family: Bacterial small subunit ribosomal RNA
Source: RNAcentral